GGGGGGCGGGGGGUGUUGCUCGCCUCACAUGCAGUUUGUAUAGUUACUCAGCCCUUUGUAUUUCCUUGUUUGAGAGGUAUGCGACCUUGCCUACCCCCAAACUUUGUGGUUUACCCCUUUGCCUCCCAAGGGCCCAACUGUUAAGGGGGAGGGUGUGGUCCAACUGCCGAGUCAGAACCUAAAGUGGGAAAGAUAGGGUCAAGUUAAGAGUAAAAAAAAAAGGGGUUGGGGAUUUAGCUCAGUGGUAGAGCGCUUGCCUAGCAAGCACAAGGCCCUGGGUUCAGUCCCCAGAUCCAAAAAAAAAAAAAAAAAAAAAAGAGAAAAAAAUAAUAAAAAACUGGCCUUGAAAACGGUCUGAGGAAUCAUAUUACAUCAUUAGGACUAAGCCUUUGUUUUUUAGGUCCCCCUCCCGCCCAUCUAUUUUGGCUAAAAAAGGAACAAGGAGAAACUGCGUAUACAGACACACAGUGAUAAGUUGGUUGGUCUGUGUCUAACAGGCAGAUCCAUGGCACAGUGGAGCAGUGGGGAGAACUAAUCCCGCAGAUGUUAUUUGUGGUACAAUGUGAUGUGUGGGGGAGUGUGAUGUGACACUACCCUGAGCCGGACAGAGUUGAGAUGAGCCCCAGGUAGACAAUAAGAUCUUGCCUGGCACUGGUGGCAUAGACCUUUGAUCCCAGCACUCAGGAGGCAGAAGUCGGUAAUGUCUGUGAAUUCGAGGCCAACCUGGUGAUCCACAGAGCUAGUUAUAGCAAAGCCAGAGUUUCAGAGAAACCUGGCUUAAAAAAAAAAAAAGACAAACAAAAGACAAAUAUUUAUUUUAGGACUUAAAACAUAAUUUCUUGAUAUUUGAAGGAACAGUAGUGUAAGAUAGGCAAAAAAGUGUCAUCUCCUAACACCCGUUCCCCUGUGGGCACAUGGCACACUGUUGAUGUCUGAACUCCCACUUUCAUUUCCCGAUCAUCCUUGAUCAUAGGUAUUGACGUUGAGGUGAGCUUGCUGUGGCCUGGAACAGAAGGAGAGCAGAGUAGGACCCACAAGUUGCAAAGAACUCUUUUUUUUUUUUUAACAGUUAUUUUGGCUUUGGGAAUUGUAGGAUACUUGGGGUUUAAGAGAAUUGAAAAAAAGUAAGCUAAAGAUUUCUUUUCUUUCUUUUAAUAACAGAGCUUCAUAAGGAAGCCAAGGAUACUCAGAACAUAAUCUCUACUGUAACUAUUUAACCACAGGUUGCCAGCUUUGCUCAGAAUGUUAUAAGUCAGCAAUCAAGAUGUAGGACGAAAGUUAAAGCAAGUGCCCACAUUCUAUCAAACACUGGGCUCAUAAAUUCUCAUCCCCUGUCGUAGCUCCACUGGAGCUGAGUUUGCCCACUAGAUUCCACAGAGAGGCAGAUCCAGGCAUGGCUGCUUCAGAAGGCUUGUUCCGAGCGAGGCCCGGGAAGUAAAAUCGCUAACACCCAGAAGCUUUGAGACUUGCUUUCUUUUUGAGACAAAGUCUCUUUGUGUAGCCUUGACUGGCCUGGAACUCACUUUGCAGACCAGGCUGGUCUUGAACUCAUAGAGAUUCACCUGCUUCUGCUUCUUGAGCGUUGGGACUGAAGGGAGCGCCAUCAUGCAUAGCUCACCUGAAAGUUUCCAACAUCUAGAAUCAGCUGGUUGGCUAUGUUACUAAUGGUAAUGUUCCCUGAAGGAUAGAGUUGAUUUCAACAGUUCUCAGUAUCUUUCCCGGAAGUUAGUCACAGCUCUGUCUGGGUAGCGGGUUUCCAUCUUGGCUGAUAUUUUGUUUAGGUUUGGUAUUUAUCUGAUGCCCCCUUCCAUUUUAUAAAGAAAAGAUCUGUACUCCCCCAAAUCUAAGUAUUUCUGAGCAUGCUGUUUCCUUAUGUGAGCACAUUGAACUACACCACCCAUCAACACUAAGGGAGGAAACAGUAUCUUUUCCUUGGGUGUGAGAAAUGGUCUCACUAUAGACCAGGGUUGUCUGGAACUUUCUGUAUAGCCUGUGAUAGACACACAGACAUGAACUCUCUUUCUUCAGCUUCCUAAUGCUGGCAUUAAAGUGCGAGCUAUCGUACCCAGCUUAAAGUUACUGAAUAGGUAAGAGGACUUAAUACCUUAGUAAUAGAACACAAAUUUUUUUUUUCCUGUCAGGAGAUAAAUGGCCACAUUGAAUCUGCAUGUUAGAUAUUUGUUCAGGACAAAACACUUAGCACAUGUCCACAAGACAGAGCUGCAUUCUAACUCUGGCUGGCUUUUGGUGAGGAAUGUACUUGUAUCCCGGUAUGAAUCAGUCCACACAACUAAGUCACUCACACAUAGCAUACACUGGGUAAGCAUCUAUAACAUCAUCUAAGAGCAGGAUUCGAACGUGUGUCUUGUGGCUAGCUGUACAGAAGACUGUGCUGAGAACAGGGACUGAUAGAGUUCUGGUGUAAUAGGUUAGAAACAUCCCAGGGUCUUCCCUGACAGCCAGCCAACUUCCUAUAAAAGGUUUCUUCUGGUUUUUCUGAUCCUCUCAGGCAAGGUGCACUUCUGAAUUGCACGACCCUGCCAGGCAGGCCCUUGCUGUGUGGUCUAUGCUGAUACUCAUCUUCUUGUACCUCUCUCUUCCAUCUCUAGAAAAUAGUCUGUAUUGAUCCUAGAGGCUUGUUGGGAAUCCUAAGUGAGCCCCUGCUCUUAGCAGCAUCAACCUGCUUCUCAUAUCUCUGUGUAGAAUAAUCAAUUCUUAGGUGUUGUUGUUGUUGUUGUUGUUUUGCUUUUCACUUGGCCUACCUAGCCGGGUUGCCCUGCUUCAUCCCUGCUUUGUCUACAUUCCCUGGCUUGAGCUACCCCGAUUCUUGGCUUUCUUCCUCAGGCGCACUUUCUCCUCCACGCUGUCAAUGUGAGCUGCUCUGGAUUUCGUGCUUAGGUUUUUCUUUCCUCAUUGUGUUAUCCUCUGUGGUGAUUUCAUCCAGGCUUGCAGUGGUGAAAACCUUCUUUCCAGUAGCCACUCACAAGCUAAGAACACCAGCUUGGAUGCUCCCCAACACUGCCAGCUAGCGGCAGCCGCUACCCAAUUGCAUAUCAGGUAGCAUCUGGAACUCAGGAAUAUCGAGGACUUCUGACAAUGGAUAACUGCCCUUCAGAAGAAUUGAAAUGCUAUAACAGAGCCACGUAGAGAGCCACAGAGGGAGGAACAAUGAACUCUGGAAGAUGGUGUGGGCUGUGGAAGAGUUGCUUUAUUUCAAAGCAAACUGAAAAAUAAGGGAAAAAAGAAAGAAAAAAUUAUACCCAGACAAAACUAUUAUCUGAAAAUAUACAAAUAGGAUUCCCCCUUCAACACCCUACUUUGCUAGGGUGGAGACUGGAGAAGGGGCAAGGGCGUUCCAGACAAUGAGAAGAGAAUUUAAAAAGAUAUAGCUGGGAGUAGUGGUGUACACUUUUAGUCCCAGCACUCAGGAGGGAGGGAAGGAGGGAGGGAGGGAGAGAGAGAGAGAGAGAGAGAGAGAGAGAGAGAGAGAGCCCACAGCAUACCAUGUACAGAAAACUACUCAUAAUUUGGCAUUGUAGAAGCACAAUGUGUGUGUGUGUGUGUGUGUGUGUGUGUGUGUGUGUGUGUGUGUGUGGGGUGGAUAUGUGAGAAGGCUCUUGGAUUCUAGGACUUUCCAUGCAUCGAGAGCUGGUAGUUUGAACAUGGUCAGUCAGGGAGCUAUUAAACAAGGAGUGUGGCUCUGCAAUGUCUGGGCCUGCCCUAUACACAGUAACCCAGAGUGGACAGGUCUGUUAGGAAAACGUGAGAAGAGUCUGUGCGUGAGACGAAGGUACCCUGAAUUAAGGCAAGGGAUGCAGAGAUGAAAAUGAAGAGAGGGCUUCUGGGACAUUCUUGAGACUUAGGCAAAACUAAUCUGAUUGAUGAUACCUGGGAGCAUGAGGAAGACAAACUUUGUAAAAAAUUCAUAAAAUUCAUUUCCUGUUCUUAAGUCUAAAUAAUUUGAUGUUUCAUCAUUUGCUGGGAUGGGACUUUCAUUCUCCAGUUCACAGGCCAGUGAGGCCAGGGCUCUUUCUCCAGAACUGAAUGGUUUAUCAGGACAGAGCCCAGCUUAAGAGAAUCUUGGAAGUCAUUUUCCCCAAGCUCCCACCAACAUUAGAAUCAUCUCUGGAGGUUUUUGAAUGGAAGAUCAGCCCCAGCUGAAAUCUACCUUCAGUCAUAGAGAACUCGACACCUGGUCUGCCCUUACCCAGGAGGUGGUAAGUUCUUUACACACCGCCUUCUGUCUUACAAAAGCAUGAGAGUCUGACUCAGGAACUAAAGUUGACAUUUGUGACUCCCAGGUUACCACAGCUGAGUUCUCCCUUUUGGGAAAUGGUUUCUGGAUUCCUCACCAGCUUGGUCAAACUCCUCCAACAUGUUUGAAAUACAAUGUCAGACAGUGAUGGCCCCCACCUUUAAUCCCAGCACUUGGGAGGCAAAAGCUAUCAGAUCUCUGUUAGUUCGAGGACAGCCUGGUCUACAGAUCAUGUUCCAGAAUAGCCAGCAGUACACAGAGAAACCCUGCCUCAAAAUAGAAAACAAAAAAAUACAAGUGUCUUUCUUAAGAUCCUUCCUGUGGUCCAUCAUAAUACUGUGUAUGAGGUCUGGCCAGAGUAGCCGUGGUUUUCAUGGGCAUUUUCAACAGUGUAUCCCAGAGUGCUUUGUUUCUCAGCAGUUAGAUGAUACAGAGUCUCUGGCCACCAAACCCGAGACAUCUUUUUUUUUUUUUUUUUAAUCCUUUAGUUCUGUUCUGUUCAAUUGACUGUUAGAAUCUUUGAAAACAUUUUUAUAUAUGGUACUUUUAGUUCAUGAACAUCAGUUAAGGAAGUUUACCAAGACUCAACAUGUGAUUGUGUCAACUCUAUUGUGUCAAGCUCUGAUGUAUCUGUUUGUUCUCCCUUCUUGCUAACCUUUUCCUGCUGGUAGAGUGGGCCAACUGAUGCUCUCUGCUGCAGCUGCUGACGUGGACCCACAGGCCAUGGCCCUUAGCCUCAGCUCUUGCGGUCAGGAUCCUGCUAUGUCACUCUUGGCCGAGUUGGAUAUAUUUUAGAUUUGUCACUUCAGUCUCACUGUUUGCUUUUCAUGCCAAUCAUUUGAUUUCCUUUGCACCAGCAGGUGCUGUAUUCAGAUGAGGAAACCUCUGUUCCCCUAAAUUCAUAUCCUACAGUGGCAGGGGCACAGACAGACAGAGACAGAGAAUGUGUAAGCUUCUACUUAUUAUAGACCCUAUUGAUUUCAUAAUGGCUCGAGCCCUUGUCAAAAGACAAUGUGAGCUAUAUAAAAUUGUUGCAAGCCCUGUUGGGAGGUGGACACAUGGUAAUCAACACCUCUAACAGUAUUCCUGUCUUAAACUGGUGGCCUUUCAUUACUUAAGAUGACUUCCCUCUUGGCCACGGUUUAUCAUUUUAUGGCAUUCAGUGUUGAAGAACAAACCUUAUUCCCUCCUUGCCCAGGAGUCAUUACCUUAGAAGUAUCCAGCCACUGCGACUUCCCUUUGCACUAUUGCUUCUUCACACAGGAUUUUCCCUGAGGACUCUGAUGCUCACAGAUUCAGAGGUGGGUUCAAGGCAUCACAGGGCCAGAACUGCCCAAUUUCAUGGCAGGAUGAGGCCUGAGGGGUCACUUGGCACAAUCCUCCAUUUUGCCAAGGAAGAUGUGAGACCUGAGACUGCCAGGGUGCACAUUUCCUCAUCACACGAGGAGCUGCUUGGAAGUCACCAUUCCACAGAGCAGCCAGGCAGCAUUCAGAAAACCGGUCCCACCUCUCCCAAGAUCAGGGAAACCACUGGCCUUUCUGUAAAGUGGAUUUUUUUUUUUUUUUGGUUCUUUUUUUUUUUUUUUUCGGAGCUGGGGACCGAACCCAGGGCCUUGCGCUUCCUAGGUAAGCGCUCUAUCACUGAGCUAAAUCCCCAACCCCUAAAGUGGAUUAUUUUUAACCACGCUUCCUUGGCUUCCUCUGACUCACAGGCCCCUCCAAGACCCCUCUGUUUCCUUUAAGGAGCAGGAUUUCCCAAGCAAACACAACCAUGUUGUUUGUCUCUCAACAGCUCUGCUGUGCAGGGACUGAGGGCUGCACUCGUGAUGAGCCCAGGGACUCCUGUGCCAAGCCUCUGAUAUAUAGUGCGGGGACUGCAGGGCAUCCGAGUUGUAACAAGAACAAGAUGAGCUUGUGGCCUCAGGCUCCUAACCUGCUCCUCAACCCACACUUCAAAGAAAGUUAUUACACAAGAGUUAGACUAAAUCAAACCAAACUGCAAUGUUUGCGCACUGUGGUCCAUUUUCAGAUCUCCGUGUAUCUCACCCCGAGUCCCUCGGAAACCCAGGCAGGAACAAAACAAAACGACCCAAUGAUAAUUUAGUUGUAAGUCUUUAAAAAAUGAGCCUGACUGAUUUAUUUUGAAAUUUCGGUUAAGCACAAUGUCAAGAAAAUCUCUGUGGCUAUUUGUCAUUUUUGUCCUCUUAGCAUAAGUCCAAGCAGCAGAAUAAAAUUAGAAACUGGCUGCUCAUAGGCUCCUGAGUUCCCGUUGUAGGCUUGAUUCCACUACUAGAUGAUCAGAGAUGUUUUGGUGAUAAUCUUCUGUCAGAGCACUCGUCAUAACAAGGAAGACCUCUAUUAUGCCAUCGGCUCAUUUUAUUAGCCUUGUUAUCCAGCUACUGGGAAGGAGCACAAUAGAUCACCUAAAAGAUAUAUAUUUCACUUUGACUAGAACUACUACUCUCUUCUUUUAGCUUACCCACAACCUGAGAAGCAUGAGAACUCAGAUUUUUCCUUUUGUAGCUUUGAAUAGGGGAAGGUUUGGGUUUUUGAAUUGCAAAAGAAAUAAGGCUUAUAUUCAUUGCUAUCUACUCUUACGUUUUAAAAUUCUUUUAUAUUUAUGUGUGUGCACACGCUUAUGUGUGUGAAUGCGAAUGGUACAGCACAUUGUUUCCUUCUAUCAUGUGAGCCCUGAGGAUAGAACCCAGGUCACCAGGCUUGGUGACAACCAUAGUUAUCCACGGAGCCACCUCUUUGGCCCCUAUUAAAUAUACUAAGUAUACACGACUUUGUGUGGUAGACGUGGCAACUUCUCAUACUCUAAUAUUACCGUUAAAACCUGUCCCCCAGGCCAUUCCACAAUAUCUCUUGUGUUUCAGAAAACUCUCGUAGUUUUGACUAUGAGUCAUUAUGGUCUCAUGAUCAUCUAGGGUCAGUUCUGGGAGAGACCAUGGAGUUGUGUGAAGAAGGAUGCUGGGACUCCGAGGAUAAGUGGUUUUUAUCUCACAUCUUUUGGUGGAACUGCUGCCUCUGCUUAUCAAUAGACCAUUCCUGUGGCCUCUGCAGCCUCAGCAAGAGAUGCUCAGAGCUCCACAGCUGUCACACUGAGGGAGGCCGCAGUCUAUGCCAGGGGUUAAGGGGAAGUAUCUUGAAACUGUGUCUAUAUACACGUUUAGGUGUAUGUUGGUGUCUGGAUCUGUAGAGAGGAAAGGAAAGGGCAAGUGAGUCAGAUUGUAUGGAGAAGUAAGGGAGGAUUUGAACCUAAAUGUGCUCAGUAGAGCGUCUGUCAUUUAUUAGUAGCUUAUGGUGUUCUUGUCUCAUGUCCUCUUCAGAGCGAGCUAAGGGUGUGAAGCAUGCGGUGCUCCAUGUCAUGGGUGCAAACAUUCAGAGACCCAAGUGCCUUGUAUGGAGGUAAGAAAUUAAAGCCCACUUGAUCAUGAUGGAUGAUCGUUUUGAUGUGUUCUUGGAUUCGGUUUGCAAGAAUUUUAUUGAGUAUUUUUGUGUAAGGGAAAUCAGUCUGAAGUUUUCUUUCUUUGUUGUGUCUUUGUGUGGUUUAGGUAUAAGAGUAAUUGUGGCUUCAUAGAAGGAAUUCGGUAGUGAUCCAUCUGUUUCAAUUUUGUGGAAUAGUUUGGAUAAUAUUGGUAUGAGGUCUUCUAUGAAGGUCUGAAAGAAUUCUGCACUGAACCCAUCUGAUCCUGGUUUUUUUUCUUUUCUUUUUUUUUUUUUUUUUUUUUUUUUGGUUGGGAGACUUUUAAUGACUGCUUCUAUUUCUUUAGUAGUUAUGGGACUGUUUAGAUUGUUUAUCUGAUCCUGAUUUAACUUUGGUACCUGGUAUCUGUCUAGAAAAUUGUUCUUUUCCUCCAGAUUUUCCAGUUUUGUUGAGCACAGGCUUUUGAAGUAGGAUCUGGUGAUGUUUUGAAUUUCCUCAGUUUCUGUUGUUAUGUUUCCCCCAGAGCUCCCAGGGACUAAACCGCCAUCCCAAGAGAACACAGUGAUGGACUUAUGGCUCCAGCUGCAUAGGGAGCAGAGGACGGCCUUGUUGGGCAUCAAUAGGAGGAGAGGCCCUUGGUCCUGUCAAGGCUCAAUGCCCCAGUGUAGGGGAAUGUCAGGGUGGAGAGGUGGGAGGGAGUGGGUGAGUGGUGGAACAGGGGGAGGGGAAAUGGGAUAGUGGGUUUCUAGAGGGGAAAUCAGGAAAGGGGAUAACAUUUGAAAUGUAAAUAAAAAAUUCAAUAAAAGAAAUUAAAACUCAUGUCACUUGGGCUCAAAACUGUUGCUCUCCUUUGCUACCCCGUAGCUGUAGCACAGAUAGUGUGUUAGAGGAGCGAGCAGAACACGUAACGCCUGGAGAUCAGAGGGACAGGCCUUGUGCAGUAAUAGUAAGGCCAGUGUACUGGCAGGCAUUUGGAGGGACUGUCAUACACGAGUCAUGGUGCCAGAGUCUACUUAAUGUAAUACUGAAACGAUCCUAUGACUGGGGACCAUUUUUGCAGUGAGUUUGCUGGGGAGAACCUGAAGAUCUAAGCGAUCUGUGUAGCCCCCACAGACAAUGGGGACGCUGAAUUGGGAUGAGCUGAAAAUCAGAUUUUGUCUGUUUGACCACAGAGACUGCACUCAAGUCAGACUAGAACAUCAGAGUACAAAUAAGCCAAAAGGACUUUAUCUCCAAGAACUGCAGUCUGAAGAGGACAGAUACACAGACAAUAACUAAAAUGUGUUUGUAGCCAAGUCCAGGGAAGGUGGUACCAGGGAGAGUGAACGCCUAACUCAGACUGGGAACAGAAUGCCAGUGACAUCUGGAGACAGUGUCCCAAGGAAAAUAGUAUUUCAGUUAAAGGUUAAUCAACCUUUCUUUUUCCAGAACUGGGAAUGAAGCCGCCGAGUCUGAAUUUGCACAGGCCAGGCAAGUGCUUGGCGGCUCAGCUACCUCCCCAGACCCUGUGUUUUGUUUUUGUUGUGUUUGUUUGUUUGCAUUUGAGACAGGUUCUCACUGGCAGUCCAAUACCACCUUGGAUUUAACAUGUAUCCCUGGCUGGCUGGGAGUUCGAGAUCCAGAGCCCCAGCCCCCUGAGCACUGGAAUCGCAGAACAAAACGGGAAUGUACGUUCAGUAGAGCAAGCUGCUGGAGGCCAGAGAGCACCUUGGGGUGUGAGUGUUUGCCUACAUGUAUGUGCAUGUGCUAUGUGCAUGCAUGAUGUCUACAGAGGCCAGAAGAGGGCACUCAAUUUCCUGGAACUGGAGUUGUCGGUUGUGAGCUGCCAUGGGGUACUAAGAACUGAUCCCCCUCUGCAGGGCAGCAAGCACUUCUAGCCCCUGGGCCAUCUCUCCAGCCGCACCCUGCUACUGUCUAGUCACAGGAAUAUGCGGAAGUGCUCCGGGAACACCUUCUCCCCCUGCUGCUGCUGACUCCAGCACUGCUGCAGGACCCGGAUUCUUUCAGCGCGGCCUGGGGCUUUGCCAGUGGAGAAGCUUGUCAUCCGAUGGGGCUCCCUUCCCGACCCUGGUGCUCCAGCCUCCAGUUCUGGGAGGUGGCGGGGUGAUGGAGUCAAGAACGAGGGUGGAAGGCCAGGGAGAGAGCAGCUCUGCACAGACAAUUACAAUGGGCUCAAAACCCCAGAACAUUUACCUUUUCCAACCGAAUGACUCUAUAAAAUGGACACCUGCCAUGUUCCUAACAUGAAUCACUGUACUUAGAGGCACACACAAGUGCAGUGCAGUCACGCCUAGUUGCUCACUGAUGUCUCAGAUCCAAUGCUCAGGGUUCAGUGCCUGAGCCAAAUGUUAAAGUUAUUUGUUCUUGUCAAUAAACUAAACUUUACGGUGACCCUCUAUUUUUAUUAUGCCACAUGUAUUUUAAGAGAGGUGGCUCCUGCUCAAGCUGGCUCUAGUGAGGGGCUCUAGUGAGGCCUGCUGAAUGCCAAGGAAGCGCUUCCCCUGGGGAUGCCCCAUCAGCAUGCAAGGCUGGCUAGGUCUGUGUAGUUUUUCCUGGCUCUAGGAAAGCCACCCUCUCAAUGAUACUGCACCAUAUCAGGAAAGUCUUUUGGGGUCUGGGGCUUCAAGUGCAGUGUUGCCUGGUCCUCAGCCUGCUACAGAGAUGCUGUUUGGAAAUGAAAUAAAAUAUGAAAAAAAAAACCCCACAAAAUAACAAAUGAAGCAAAGCAAAGACUGACCCCUACACACACAGCUGUGAAAUACCAUGUGCCAAACAGCCAAAAUGCACAGGUGACUUCCCGUUCAUCUCUCUUAGGCCCAGAUGUAACCACACAUUCCUGUCUGCCGAGCUGCAAAGGGCCAGGGCCACACUUGUUGUGAGUGUGAGGAUGGGCCUGUCGUCUGGAUGUUUGGAGUAGUUUCCCUUAAAAAAUGCUGGGGACCUAGAUGUGUGAGAAUUUGGGUGGUCUUGAGAGACUCCCCCACGCAGACCCACAGCCACACUGUGGCAGCUGGAUGGAUGGAGCAGGUGCAUGGGAACAGAGCUUUCAUAUCCCCAGUCAGUGAAGCUGUGUGGUAAAUGGGGCUUUCUGCUCCAAAAAGAGAAGAAAAAAAAUCACAGCUGUAUUUCCUUUUACCCCCCAAAAGCUUUAACGCUUAAGUUUUGGAAUUCAAGCAAUACAAUAAAAAUAUAUAACUUUAUAAUUUCUGAUUGUUUGUUUUUGUUGUUGUUUUGAGACAACAAUUUCCCCUGUGUGAAAGAAUUGGCUGGCCUAAAACUCACUUUGUAGACUGGGCUAAUGUUUGGAUUUUUGUUUUUGUUUGAGACAGUGUUUCUCUGUGUAGCCCUGGCUGAACUGGAACUUGCGCUUUAGACCAGCCUGGCCUUGAACUCAGAGACCUGCCCGCCUCUGCAAGUGUGCACCAUUACUGCCUGGCUUAUGACCAUGUCUUAAAUGCACAUUUCUGCCACAAGCUAUGGAGACCUUAUGACAUGAACAGGUCCAGCUGCCUUUCAGCCUAGACACUUGCCUCAUCAUCUCCUGUCAUAAUCACAGGUUUCCCUGUUUCUAUCCCAGUCUCCCACAGUCUAAUGUCAAUUUGGCAGCUAAGUGGCCUUUUAAAAAUGAAAGUCAACACAUGGCCGUUCUUUCCUCAAAACCUGGCAACCGCUUCUCUUGAACACGUCUCUCUCUCCUCACUCACACUGUUUGCACAUGGUCUGUAGACCAGGCUGGCAUUGAACUCUGCCUGUCUCCAUGCCCCGAAUGCUGGGAUUGAAGAUGAACACCUCCAUGCCCAUCUGUACCUUUCUUCUUUGUAGCUCAGGCUAGCUUAGACCCUUGGUUAUCCAGCUUGAGUGCUAGCGCCAUGGGUAUGGGCAUGAGGCCCAGCUCAUAUCAGGGCCUUUACCACGGCCAAUAAGAUGGCCCGGGGGCUGGGGAUUUGGCUCAGUGGUAGAGCGCUUGCCUAGCAAGCACAAGGCCCUGGGUUCGGUCCCCAGCUCCGAAAAAAAGAAAAAAAAAAAAAAAAGAUGACCCAGGAUCCAUUGCAAACCUGUUACUCUCCCCCUUUGUCACUACCUUUAGCCAUGUAGUCCUUUUGACAUUCUGUUAGUGCUGGAGCCCGGUCCCAUCUCAGCAACUCCCUGUGCAGUCCUGCCUGCCCACUCUUAACCGCUCGGCUGGCUGUGCUUGGAAACACCCGCUGCCGUGAGGCGUUUCUGACUUUUCUUGUGUCAGCUGCACUACUGAUACUGUUAAUUUCCUCUAACCCACUUCAUUACUAGCUUUGUAUCGCCUGCUAGCACGUGUUUGCCAUCUCUCUCCCAUUUGAUUAUCAUCUACAGAGGCACACACGGUAUUUCAUCCACCUCUGCGUCCCCUGGAUCAGUGUUCAUGAGGUGUUGUGCUUUAAACACCACUCAGCCACCGUAGCUCGUGGAGGACAACAAAAGACGUUUCAUUUGCCUUUGUGCUAUUAAACAUCCUUGCCUGGUGAUUUUAUACCAUUAGUGGCGUUUAUGAAAUCUUAUAUUUAUAUUGUGUGUGCGCGUGCGCGUUAGGGAUCUGAAUGUAUUCUUACUCUGAAACAAGUAUCAGAGCGCCAGAACAAUCUUUGAAGUUCUGUCAGGAAAGAAAUGAGUUUGAAAGCCCAGAGAGGGGACAGAAUGAAGCAUGCCAGUUGUUGGUCAGCCAUGCUCCAGGACAGGCGAGAGGUUUUAAAUAUGUCAUGGGAGUGAGUCCGCAGGAGAUGGCUGCAGAAAAGGAAGGACCUUCCACCGCCAUACUCUCUGGUAGCCACUAGGUGGUGCUGUCAGAGUCGUGUGACUGCCCAGGGGGAAAUAAUGCGGAAACUUUAAAGUUGAACAACUUAGUUAUUUGAAACCACAAUAACAUCAUGUAGCUACUCGAGACCAUAAAUAAAUAAAAAAAAGUGAAGAAGAAACAUUCGACUGAGUAUUUUGAGAAAAACGACCACAACUAGCAUUAAUAAAAUUAAUAACAAGGACUUGAGCGUGAAGGGCUUAUAAUGUGUCAGACUGUGCCAGUGCAGGCUAUCAGCUUCCCGGCCUGAGUAGGAAAUAUGUAGCUGAGUCGGCACAUAGUAGGGUGGUCAAAAGUCAUGCGUUAAGUGAAUUUUGAGAAUUUAGUUAGGUAGUUCGUAAAAAGCAUCCACUCCAUACUGACAUUCCCUCUUACGGCGCAUGCUUGGUAACAGGAAUGGGUCUACAGAGCCACCGUACAUGUUCUCUGUUAAAGCUGCCCCAAACGUGCUUAAUUGGUUGAGCAACCCAGAAGGAAUAAGUCCAAAUUUAGCGUUUCGCUCGGCAAGUCUCCUUCAUUCUUCAGCUGGGGGUCUAACGGUUUGCUUUGGGCUCGGGGAACUGUGUCCCAGAUGACAGAGGCCAGCAUAGGCUUCAGAGGUCCCACUUUCUGCUUUCUAGGUUACACUUUUAAUGGGGCUUACUGAAACAGAGUUUGGUGUCAGCAGAUGUCCCCUACAGGACCCCUCAGAGUCACCAUACAGGGAAUGGAGCCCAGUGCCCUUUUGCAUAGAUACCCAUCUCUGACUCAACUGUGGAGGUUUCCAUGCCAACAAAAGCUUAUUUCAAUCAACUGUAUUGAAGUCUUCGAGAUGCUGGGCACAAAGUACUUGCUAGAUGUAUGGGGGGGUGGGGAACAGACAGAUGACGUCAUCUCUGCCUUCCAGAGGCUUCCAUGGUAGUUAGUAGAAUAUGAAAAGCAUGUACCUCCGAGAGGAUUUGUAACAUCCACUUCCAAGUCUCCUGACUUCCGCCCAGCCACAACAGAAUUUCUGAAGCAGUGAGAAGGAGCGUCUGUGUCAGGAGCCCAGCUCAGCUUGCAUCUCAGAAUUCCCUGAUGGGACUGGGGACUGGUAGUGGGGUCGUUGGAGGGCUUAUCUGAGGAAUCUGCGUUGCCAGUAAUCAUCACAAGCCCUGUGUGCACUGAGCUUUGAAAAGCGUUGCUAUGGUGUUCAGGAUGGACUGCAGACAACACUGUAGAUUGCAGAAAGGAAGAGAGUGCGCGUGCUUAACUCGCUUUCUGACAUGGCAGACACCUGCUAAUCAUCUGUGUCUUCAGACUCCUCUUCAGUCGACGGCACCACCAUCGUUAAUACCCAUUUUAGAGUAAGAAAAUCAAGGUACAGAGAGGCUCCAUGAUUUGCCCAUGGCACACAUAGCAAGGGGAGGUACAUGACUCAAAUACAAAGCCAAGGCUUCCAACCACUCUUCCAACUGCCUGCCACAGUGCCAGCUUUCAGAGUAGCCUCAAAGAGGUCUGAAGACGUGCAGAAUUGCCCAAGUAGAGGACACGGGCACAAUGAUUUAAUCUGAAAUAUAAUAUAUAUCAUAUCCAUCAAGAACUAUUGGGCCUCACUAACUAUAUCAUAUGGUAUUGGUUUUACUCUUCCAAAGACUGAAGAGUAGUUUUUCAGAGGAGCGAAACAGCCAUACAUUAAGGUCCUUUACUGUACGAAGUCCCUACAUGCACUCUUACCUAGUUCUUACGAUAGCUAACAUAGUGUCUGCCUCCAUUUAGAGAUGAGCACUCAGAGCGUAAGUGCUUUCCACGAAGUGAAUAGCCAUUAGAUGGUGGAUUUGGGCUUACCCACUCCCCUGAUAUCUGUUGCAUUAAUGAAGGUGCAUUUAGAUACAAGCAACAGAAACCUCUAUACGCCGUGACCCGGCCAAUACGGGAAGACGCUCGCAGAUGAUAGGGCUAUCAAUGCGUCCUGAGGGAGGAUUGGAUUCAGGCUGGUUAGUUCAGAGACUGAGCAAUGUGAUCAAGAUCCUAAGAUCAAUGUAUCUUUGCUAUCUGCUUAAAUUUGGGGAGCGUUGUGGGUUGGGUUGUGGUGUUGUUUGGGAAGGUUAUGGACCUCCAGGAGGUGGAAUUUGCUGUAUAAAUAUUUAAUUCUAAUUCCCAGUA
This is a non-coding RNA of Rattus norvegicus (Norway rat), 14634 nucleotides long. Lineage: Eukaryota; Metazoa; Chordata; Mammalia; Rodentia; Muridae. The record is from RefSeq and is a predicted model, not a curated record.